GCUGACGAGUGGCGGACGGGUGAGUAAUGUCUGGGAAACUGCCUGAUGGAGGGGGAUAACUACUGGAAACGGUAGCUAAUACCGCAUAACGUCGCAAGACCAAAGAGGGGGACCUUCGGGCCUCUUGCCAUCGGAUGUGCCCAGAUGGGAUUAGCUAGUAGGUGGGGUAACGGCUCACCUAGGCGACGAUCCCUAGCUGGUCUGAGAGGAUGACCAGCCACACUGGAACUGAGACACGGUCCAGACUCCUACGGGAGGCAGCAGUGGGGAAAUAUUGCACAAUGGGCGCAAGCCUGAUGCAGCCAUGCCGCGUGUAUGAAGAAGGCCUUCGGGUUGUAAAGUACUUUCAGCGGGGAGGAAGGGAGUAAAGUUAAUACCUUUGCUCAUUGACGUUACCCGCAGAAGAAGCACCGGCUAACUCCGUGCCAGCAGCCGCGGUAAUACGGAGGGUGCAAGCGUUAAUCGGAAUUACUGGGCGUAAAGCGCACGCAGGCGGUUUGUUAAGUCA
This 508-nucleotide ribosomal RNA is filed under the name uncultured bacterium. RNAcentral describes it as "bacterial SSU rRNA". It matches the Rfam family "Bacterial small subunit ribosomal RNA", at positions 87 to 590 of the family's 1533-position model. The record is from RNAcentral.